UACAGAGGGUGCGAGCGUUAAUCGGAAUUACUGGGCGUAAAGCGUGCGUAGACGGUUAUUUAAGUCGGGUGUGAAAUCCCCGGGCUCAACCCGGGAACUGCGUCCGAUACUGGAAGGCUUGAAUCCGGGAGAGGGAUGCGGAAUUCCAGGUGUAGCGGUGAAAUGCGUAGAUAUCUGGAGGAACACCGGUGGCGAAGGCGGCAUCCUGGACCGGCAUUGACGCUGAGGCGCGAAAGCCAGGGGAGCAAACGGG
Molecule: ribosomal RNA, 253 nt
Filed under: uncultured bacterium
Lineage: Bacteria
Description: partial 16S ribosomal RNA
Rfam family: Bacterial small subunit ribosomal RNA
Source: RNAcentral